UUCACUUGAUUUAGAUUGAGUAACAAUUUUCAUGUAUCUUAUAGACUUGAAUUGCUAGAAUAUAAAAUCAAAUCGAGAAUCGUAAGAUUUGAAUCCUGAAUCGUAAGAUUCAGGUACAUUUAAGAUUUAUCCCAUAAAUUCAAAUUGUUUUGUUGGAAAAUAGAUACGAAUCGAUUUGUUGGAAAAUAGAUACGAAUCGAUUUGUUGGAAAAUAGAUAUGAAUUGUAAGAUACGAGUCGAGAAUUGUAGAUUCUAACAACAGUGGCUCCAACCCCCUGGGCCCAAGAAUUGUAUACUCUUUAUGAUAGGUUUUGUGGUUUUUUAAUGGUUAUUGCCAUUUAAUGGAAUG
This 349-nucleotide long non-coding RNA is filed under the name Manihot esculenta (cassava). RNAcentral describes it as "long non-coding RNA (MESC_LNC011058)". Lineage: Eukaryota; Viridiplantae; Streptophyta; Magnoliopsida; Malpighiales; Euphorbiaceae. The record is from RNAcentral.